This 69-nucleotide transfer RNA is filed under the name Kaloula sp. NE Mindanao. RNAcentral describes it as "tRNA-Pro". It matches the Rfam family "tRNA". From Rfam's summary of the family: Transfer RNA (tRNA) molecules are approximately 80 nucleotides in length. The record is from RNAcentral. Lineage: Eukaryota; Metazoa; Chordata; Amphibia; Anura; Microhylidae.
CAGGAUAUAAUUUAAUCAGAAUGUUGGCUUUGGGGGCUAAUAGUAGAGGUUUGAUUCCUCUUGUCUUGA